UUGACUUCCCAGGUUGAUAGGAUGAAGUCCACUUUUUCUACAUCAUGGUUCUGCUCACAGGAGAUCUCGCUAUGAACGAAGGAAAAAACUAUUCGUGCUCCAACUACACUCAGUCGAUGUGGAUGGUGCAAGAUGCUGGAUGGAAGUUGUCAAUGAGCAGUUUAAGACGGAGAACCUCAGCACUAUUUUCAAAUCUGUGGAGAAACGAGAAAGGGUUCUUGGAAACACAGCAUUGAAUGAGACGACUUCAAUCAUUGUUGAGAGGCUUGUGGCCCACAUAUUCAGGGCUGAGGGUAACAUCAGACAGUGACCAUGUGGCCAACACUACCGUCAAGGUCCACCUACCCAAAAGAGCUCCUGAUAGCCAAAGAGAACGAUACCAUCAUCUUCUGCAUGAUUACCUCACCUGAAAAAUAUGGGGUAGGUGUGUGUG
Oncorhynchus tshawytscha (Chinook salmon) is the source of this 433-nucleotide long non-coding RNA. NCBI's taxonomy places the organism in Eukaryota, Metazoa, Chordata, Actinopteri, Salmoniformes, Salmonidae. The record is from Ensembl.